RNA transcript from Oncorhynchus gorbuscha (pink salmon), 8394 nucleotides. It is a transcript of the gene named mitochondria-eating protein-like, with no coding region annotated. Lineage: Eukaryota; Metazoa; Chordata; Actinopteri; Salmoniformes; Salmonidae. The record is from RefSeq and is a predicted model, not a curated record. The transcript has 12 exons.
UCAAGGAAGAUCAAUGGAAACAGGAUUUUUCCUGAGCUCAAUUUCGAGUCUCAUAGCAAAGGGUCUGAAUACUUUUGUAACUAAGGUAUUUCUGUUUUUUAAAUUUUAAUUGGUUGUAACGUAACAUAAUGUUGAAGAAUUCUCGAAUGCACUGUAGAUAGCAAUGUAGGGAGCACUAAAAGUAUGUUUCCUAUUUUAAGCUCAAAUUAUGUUUCCUAUUUUAAGUGUUAACCCUUGUACAUAUCCCACUAACUCCAACUCAUUACUCCUUAACUAACCAUACUCAAAACAUAAAUAUAGUGGCUAAGUGAUCAGUGGCUGAUGCUUAAUACAUGGGGACUUGUACUCGAGUCACACACAGCUGCCAGUGGAAAUAUACAUAAGCAAAUCUUAUCAAUAUAAAUACCCAGAACACCGGUAAUAAUACUGGACUGCUUGGUAGAGUGCUGUGUCUGUUGUUACUUCAUAUAGUGUGCUGCUCUAAGUCUAAACAAAACAAAAUGAUAAUACUGUAUGUAGCUCUUAUCUUUGGCCAAGCGGAUAUGCAGACAAACAAAAAGGCCUCCAUAAAAAAGUGUGUGUUUCUGGGUGUUACAUUUUGAAUGUGUAUGCAGUAUGCACUGCACAUUGUUCUAGGUUAUUUCAACAUUGGUUGGCCAUACUUGACCAUCUGUUAAUUGUAGGACAAGAUGGAUGGUGUCACAUCAGUUUGUCUUCCAGUCUCUUUAGUGGGCCGUUCCACAGGGGUUGUCUGAGGUCUGGCAGCCCAUGUUCUGAUACUUCACCUGGACACGGAACAGAGUGCCGUCUGCACACAUACACAGCUUGUACCUCAACAGACCUUCGUCGAAAUACACGUUGGCCCCCACUGAGGAGUUUUGCAUGCGACUGAUGCUCACCAUCACCGACCCGUUCAGAACAAUACUGUUCUCCUGCAAGGGGAAAGACCUUGUUAACCAUAAGUUUUAAUGGAAUGCAAUACACCAUAGACCAGACCCCCCCCCCAGAUGUUUCACAUGUAUGUUAUAACCCUAAACUGGCACACCUGAUUCGAUUAGUAAACUAAUCAUCAAGUCUUUAACUAAUUGAAUCAGGUGUGCCAGUUUAGGGCUAAAAGAAAAAUGUGAAAAGUCUGGGGGGCCCGAGGAGAGGGCCUGAUAAACAAGUAGACCAAAUUGGGUAAGGGGUAACACUCACAGCUCUGAGCUCGAUGUCCCCUCCCAUCCUGAACUCCACCGUCUUGCCCAUGAUGAAGACCCCCUCAUUGCCGCGGAUGAUGGCCUUGCUGUCCCCUUUGAUGGACAAGUCAGAGGAAGCGUUGCUGGUGAUCUGAAAGCAGAGAGAGUAUUCAGAGAUCUACCACUUUUUUCUGGGAUAAAAAAAAAACAAUGACAGGAAUGGAUACUAGAAUGUAUUUUAUCUACAGUAACACUAUUUGUGGUGCUACAUGUUUUAUUAGAUGGCUUCUGUUGGCCUGGAAUAUACCCUUUCUGUGGAGGCUUUCUUCACACUGAGUACUUUGACUCCUUUGGGCAGGUGGAAUUCGUGGUUUUCAAAGUCUGUGCUGAAGAAGGUGUUCUGAGUGCGGGGGUCAGUGAAGGAUAUUCCCAUGUCACUGGUGAUGGACGUCUUCUCUUUCUCAACACUGAGCUUAGUGGAGCCCUGCUGAAACACCACCUGGAACACAUAUACAAAAACCAUAUACAUGUAAGAGCAUACAGUCUGAUUAAGGUAUUCAUAUCUGGGUAUGAAUACAUUAAUCAGACUGGGGAAGUGUGUGUAUAGACUGCUUAUACCAAUGUAUUUGUUAUUCCCUCUGUGUGUGUGUGUGUGUGUGUGUGUGUGUGUGUGUGUGUGUGUGUGUGUGUGUGUGUGUGUGUGUGUGUGUGUGUGUGUGUGUGUGUGUGUGUGUGUGUGUGUGUGUGUGUGUGUGUGUGUGUGUGUGUGUGUGUGUGUGUGUGUGUGUGUGUGUGUGUGUGUGUGCGUGUUUGUGUGUGUGUGUGUGUUGCCUAAGUGAGUGUAUUUUUCCAUAAGUGAGUGUGUUUUGCCUGAGUUCACCGGGUUGUUGUUGCCGGUGAUAACCAGGUCCUGGUCCUUCCUGCCCCCCACAGUGCUCUUGUGUAGUGGGUGGACCACACCCAUGUCUGCCUUCUGCUUGAAACGCAGCAGCCCACUCUCAUGGAACUCUAUACUGUCACAACCACUGGGCCCGAUGCGGAUCACUGUCCAUAUCACUAGAGUUAUCUGAGAGACAGGACAAAUGUCAGAGAUUCAGAUACAUUGACUUGAUUUGUCAUAAUCAGAACUAGUUAUAACAUAUCCAUAACUAACAUUCUGAUGAUACUAGCCUGUUAAAAAGUGAAUUCAGAUAAAUAAGGAUGGUGACAUUAUGCAGAGCAUGUUUUGUGUGUCAUUGGGCACUCACAAUGAGGUUGAUGAGAGCCAGCAAGAAGAGCAGGACUAUGAUGCAAACAGCCAUGUUGCCCUUGCGUCCUCUCAGGCCUGUCUUGUGCAGGCGCUCCUCCUCAAUGGGCACAUAGCCCGCCUUGAAGUUGCUGUUGUGCUCCUUGUUGGUGGUCCGCCGUUCCAUGGCCUUCUCCCUCAUGGACCUCUUCACAGGCCCAUUAGAACUCUCCUUCAGCACACAGAACAGCAGCAAUGUCAAGGCUCAGUAGGCUCACUCAGCUUUAACAUGCUAUACUGCUGUGACAUCUACAAACAACACUUUCUGGGUGGUUCCCAUCAAUCAAAGCAUUGACUUCACUGUACACCUCUCUGGGUGAGAUUAAACAUUAAGAGUUCUAUACAUUGUAACUACCACAUGUUAUUUUUUCCCCACUCUGCAAUCUAGUUGAUCUAGUAGUUGAUACAUUGUAACAACCCAAUUGACAGCUUAUUUAGCUGUCAUAUGUAGUUACAAUGUAACAAAUAUACUGUAUCUCUGAGUACAGCACCACAUAUUGUAACCACCACAUUCUAUUUUAUUAGACUUUAUGCAGGCGUCGCUGUAUAGACAGGUUGCUUCUGAGGAAUGCGCGCAAUUAAACACCCGGGUCUCUCUGUCUGUAGGUAAUGACUAAAAAUAAAGUACACGUAUAUUCCACGUAACAAAUAUGAAUAGUCCAGGUCCAUAUUCAACUCGGAUGAAAAGAUAACUUCAUGAUUUGGGGUAAUACAACCAGUUUAAACUUCCCAAUGCCGUGGAAAAACUGCGGCAAUCAAGCCGUUAUUUCGAGGUAUGUCUAUCAUAAAAAGCGUAACAGCAGUACAGGGCUUGGAAGCGUGAUAGCGUACUAUGGAUAUUCCGCAUACGCUUUACAACGCCCGCCCGAAUACCGUAAUUCCUUUCAAAUGAGUUCGUAGUACAUAUAGAUGCCUACAUCAAAACGGGAAUGGAAAAUGUAGAAAAACAAUAAUGUCUUUAAAUGGAAACAGACCUGCUCAGACGCCAUGUUCACCCUCCCCCUCUUCCAAAGCGUUUGACAGCUCCGGAGUCCGGAAAGACAGUGGACUAGACCACUUCAUUCAAAUGAAUAAAAUAAUAUAUAUCUCUCCAGUUUUAAUACUUGGAACGAGGUUUUUAUUAGGGUAAUUAUUAUAUUAGCAGGUGGAAUUUGAAGCCUUUUUAUCAAAUUGUUCAUAGCUGGAUCACUGUUUAUCACAGAUGGUUCCUUCCUGGCUAAACCAGCCAAUGGGAAAGGCCCGCAACAGGAUUCCAAAAUAAGAAAGUCCAUAUAAAGCCUGUCCAUUCAUAUUUUCUUCCAGGCAGGGCUUCCGAAUAGACUAGUCCACAGACAAUUAACAUCACUUUAUCCCUACUUAAGUGUUGUUUAUUUCAAGUAAUAAAGGUUUUAUCAGAGAUGAUGACACAACUUGAUAAUGUAUGGAUUCCACAGCCCCUAAAACACUACCAGACCGACACUUUUACUAAAGCGUGGCUUUCAGUGUUAGUGGGACAUUUUAGUAAAUGAACUGGGACACUGUAUUCUCCUUAGAACUACAUUCGUGUCCCACUUCAAUCAAUAAGACUGUAGAAUUUGUAGAAGCUUGUAGAUAACACACUGUUUUCACAAUUUUGUUACAAUAAACAUUUACUAAACCCUCCCCAUGCCAUUGGAAAAUGAAUUGGGGGACAUUCCAAGCUUUUAGGAGUCUGCACAGCUUUAACUUGAUCCUGGAACACUACUAUCCCCCAAAUUCCCCUUUCAAAAUUAUUGUAGCCUCUUUCUAUAGUCUCUUUCUUCCAUGUCAUUGUGCUUCCUUUAUUUCCUUCCUACCCUUGUUUGUUAUCUUCCCUCUAAUUCCUUCCACCCUCAUCCUAUACUGUUUAUUUGCUAUAUAGUGUAUGACAUCGAUUCAGAGAUGCUAUGAACAACUUAAACAACAAAUUACAAUGUAUUUUAUAAUAUCUAAUGCCAUAAAUAUAUUUGAAUUAAUUAAAGAUCCUUUUUUAAGUUUCAUCAAACACCAAUCAGGGGAAGUGGGACAAUACUAUAAACCUGGUUUUCAUAAAAUACAAUAACUGUUUACAUGAAUAAUUAUUAUAGUUUAAAACACUACCAAUAACAGUUUGUUUUAACACAACAAGCUAAAUUGUUUAUAAUUAAUUAUAAUUGACAGAAUUAUACCUUUUUCAUUCUAGCGCAAGUUUUCAUAUGUAUGCCGGUUUUUUAUGAGUUUUAACAGGUCGCCCCACCUAGGAAACCUGACCACACACACUACGAUGAUGUCACACUAACCAAUACCAUUUUUUUCAAGCACAGAACACAUUCAGCAACAAACCAAAAAACAUUUAUUUUGAUUGGGUUACAAAAUUACCAUAGUACAGUAGGCCUACCUUAAAACACAAACGUACCACUUGGCCUAUAACCGAUUUAACUAAUACUGACGUCAUCCGAAAUUGACUGUGCCUCUGAAAAAUAGCUCAGUGUUUCACAUCUUCCACAUAUGACAUUAAUGGCAGGAGACACCCAACGCCCACGUGUGUGUAACAGUAUGACAUUACAAUGGUCUUGUUUACAGCACAGACAGCCUACUUCACUUGAGCGCCUACAUCAUAAAGGAAGAACCGGCAGAAGACGUUUACGGUCUAUACUUUUCUCACAAGAAUAUCCAGACUAUUACUGAAAACAAUGCAAGUGGCUUUAUCAAACAUUCUCAAUCUGUAUAUGAGUAAAAUGAGUAAAAAGCGUUGCCACAACUGAGAUGGUACUUGGCACCCGUUGUAACGAAGGUGGACAAAACGUCAAGGGCAAGAAUUUCUAAGGCGGGUAUAAAAAGGGAGCGCGCGCCUGUCACGGGCGCUCUCGCCCCAGAUUAAAUCCCACGGUUGUCCAAAGCGUUUUGAACCUUUCAAGAUUAGUGAGGGAGCAGACAUGGCCGACUCGCUAAGGAGGCUGGUUAACACAUCUUCCUUCAGCGUUCUACAGGACAAACUUGAGUCCUGGUACAAGGACUACCAUGUCAUCUCCUGUGAUCAGAAUCUGAACAGGUGCUGUGAAUUGGUAGAGCUCACCUCCAAGAUACAGGGUCAACUCUUCACCAUCCUCAACUUCACUGCUAGAGAGGGUGGUCACUAUGCAGGAGUGGAUGUGCUCAAAUCACGCCUGCUGCCUUGGUUGGGGACUUGUUUCUCCAUGGCAACCUCCUCUGUCACCAAUGACACCAGCCUCAACCUCAUCCAGGAGUCCGUGGAGAAGGAGAGGAAGAUCAGAGAGCUGUCUGCCUCCCAUGAGAACGACAUGCAGAAGAUGGAGACUCAGCUGUGCUCCACUCACCUACAGCUGGACUCUGUCAAACAGGAACUGGCGGAUGCUCAUCUGCAACUGGACAACACAAAAAAUAUGUCAGCCACAACUCUGCUGGCCACCGAGGAUGAGAUACUACAGCUGAAAGCAGAGUUGCGUGCGUCCCGUGACCAGGUGGAGACCUAUAAGAGGAAGCUGGAUGUUCUGGAUGACUAUGAGAGACAGGUGCGUCUGCUGAGGGAUGAGGUGUCUUUCCUCACAGCAGAGAAGAGCAUGCUGCAGGAGAGGUUGGUGAGGAGUUGUUCCCCCAGCCCCCUGCCCAGACAGAGCCGCCCCUCCAGCCCUCUGAAGAGUGAGUCUCCCACCCGGGCCCAGCUCACCAAUUCGUCCCGCCACGCCAGGCUGGUGUCCCGCUUCAGUGACUUGUAUGCUGUGGAGCGCCUGGAGGCCCAGAGUCUUCUCCGACGCUACAUAGACGACCUGGAGAUGGUCCAGAGAAUCAUCUUCAUUGCCACUGUGGAGGCCUUCCAGGCAGCCAAGCUGGCCUACCGUCAAUUCAAGCUGAGAGUAAAGAAGACCCUGUCACCCUCCCACCUGGGGCCGGAGUCCCUGGAGGACUCGGUGGUGGACUAUAUCGUCAGGAACCUGGACCUCUACGACGUGCAGGCCAGUGUUAAUGACGUGAUCAACGCCAUGAAUGUAAACCCACGGAUCUCCUUCCCCCCGGAGGUAGACUUUGUCCUGAUCAACAGCUUCAUCCGGGAGACAUGCAGAGUGGCCUUCGCCAUGCAGACACUGGACUCUCCUCUGGACCUGGCUUUCACCAGCGGUGGAGAACUCUACAGCGACAACAAGUAUCGUCGUAGCUAUGACUCUGAGUUUACUGCUCCUCUGGUGGCGUACCAUGUGUGGCCAGCACUGGUGGAGGGGGACGGUGUCAUAGUGAAGGGAGAGGCAGUCACCAGGAGAGGAGCUCUGUGGAGGAGCAGAAGCAGGAGCUGCAGUCCUGUUCGCUCUGGCAGCCCCUCACGCACUCUCGUAAGUUACUACGACGACUGAGACCUAACACGUUGAAAUAAUGUCACAAAUAUCAAGAAACUCUUUGGAAAGAUGUGUCAGCCCAGGGUUUUUAUGAAGCAAGAACAUAUUCAGGGAAGUUGCGGGUGGGAAAGCACACUAGAUGAAAGCUGUGCAUGUGUGAUUUAGACUUUUCUUUUGCCACCAAAAUACAUCCAUGCAUACCCUGAGCCCUUGGGGGGUUUAGUCGCAGCAGAAGCCCCUCUCCCGGACGUCUCUCCGCCAGUCGCCUGUAAACCCUAACUGACCACUGAGUUACAAAAGGAAAACAAAAUUCUACACAUCGAUUUCAUGUUUGCAACAAAGACAGAUCUUUAGCUUUAAUGGACUGGAUCCUGUCGUUAUUUGUCAGUUGUGAUGACUUGAUGUUAAGUAGUUAGACUCCGUGUCAAUAUGGACAUUGGUCCAGGGUUUACAGUAUUCUGGAGAGAUGUUCCAUGUUACCAUUACAGUAUCCAGAGACUCUGGCAGCUGGUCCUUUCAGAACAAUCCUUUCAGGGUGCUGGAGCAGCACAUGACAAGGCUGUGUGUGUGUGUGUGUGUGUGUGUGUGUGUGUGUGUGUGUGUGUGUGUGUGUGUGUGUGUGUGUGUGUGUGUGUGUGUGUGUGUGUGUGUGUGUGUGUGUGUGUGUGUGUGUGUGUGUGUGUGUGUGUGUGUGUGUGUGUGUGUGUGUGUGUGUGUGUGUGUGUGUGUGUGUGUGUGUGUGUGUGCGCGCAUAAUCUAUCACAUUAUCUUAGUGAUUCUUAACUGUGCACUAUGCAAAACCAGGAUGAUUGUGUGGUUGACCGUAAUGUAACUUUUUAAGGACAUUUAGACCUGCACAGUAUCAUUUUCUGAGACUGUUGUAGUUUAGGUUUUAUCUUUAACCUCAAACCUUGAUAGACUCUGGGUUAUAAAGAAUAUAAUGAAUACAUUUGUAUGUCAUUUUAAUGUAAGUCUUAGCCUGCUUUUUUGUUGGUCGAUUUUUUGUUGUUGUAAGACACAUGGUGCUAAAGUUCAGUCAGAACUGUUCAACUCCACAAAAAACACGAGAGAUUGGUAUUGCUGAGAACAAUGAUUAAGCAUACAGUUUGUAAAGUCAUCCGUUCCAGUCCAUGUUUCUUUUUUUGGGGUGUUGUGAUAUUAGCUAGAUGUGUGGUUUGAAUGGAUUUGGAACAAUAGAAGGGAUUUAAAAUGAUACAAAACAUAUUCUGUAACUUCAAAUGGUUGACUUGAGAAAAGAUGCCUUUUUUUGUUAGUCCUAAUGAAGUUGCUUAUUAUCUACUGUACGCACAAGAUCCAAGAGCAACAUAUACCAUAUUUAGGAUAAUUGUUAGGCUGUAAAUCAAUGAAAUGUGGAGCCUAAGUAUUUUUCACUAUUUGAAAUCAUUAUACAGUCUAAUCUUUCAUUUUGCAUUAAACAGUGUGUUAGUGUUGUGUAUGCAAAACGUGGUGAUAAACCCCAAAAACUUGGACUCAAAUAUAUAUCAUGUAAUUGUGCUGUUCUUGUUACAGAAUACAAAAAACUAAAUUAUUUACUGAGAGAUUGUGUCUUUUUAAAGAUAAAAUAAAUAAAUAACUUUACUAUCAA